This 118-nucleotide small nuclear RNA is filed under the name Nannospalax galili (Upper Galilee mountains blind mole rat). The record is from RNAcentral. Lineage: Eukaryota; Metazoa; Chordata; Mammalia; Rodentia; Spalacidae.
AUGCUCGCUUUGGAAGCACAUAUACUAAAGCACAUAUACUAAAAUUGGAAUGAUACAGAGAUUAGCAUGGCCCCUGCAUAAGGAUGACACAUAAAUUCACGAAGCGUUCCAUAUUUUU